This 406-nucleotide ribosomal RNA is filed under the name uncultured bacterium. Its description in RNAcentral is "partial 16S ribosomal RNA". It matches the Rfam family "Bacterial small subunit ribosomal RNA", at positions 29 to 526 of the family's 1533-position model. The record is from RNAcentral.
AUUGAACGCUGGCGGCAGGCCUAACACAUGCAAGUCGAACGAGUGGCGGACGGGUGAGUAAUGUCUGGGAAACUGCCUGAUGGAGGGGGAUAACUACUGGAAACGGUAGCUAAUACCGCAUACCAUCGGAUGUGCCCAGAUGGGAUUAGCUAGUAGGUGGGGUAAAGGAUCACCUGGGCGACGAUCCCUAGCUGGUCUGAGAGGAUGAAAAGCCAGAUGGGAACUGAGACACGGUGCCGACUCAAACGAGGAACCGCAGUGAGAAAUAUUGCACAAGGGUGGCAGGAAUGAUGGAGACAUGCAGCGUGUAUGAAGAGUGACUUCGAGUUCUAAAGUACUUACAGCGGGCAGGCGUUACCCGAAGAAGAAACACCGACUAACUCCGUGCCAGAAGGCGCGGUAGUAC